AUGCAGAUUGCUGGACUCAACACCCUCGGCAUCUGAAUUGCGCGCAUUGACUAUGCUCCCUUGGGUCAGAACCCACCACAUACGCACCCUCGCGCCACUGAGAUCCUCACGGUGCUCGAGGGGACACUGUAUGUUGGCUUUGUUACAUCCAACCAGCCCGCCCCAAACAGAAACAAGUUCCUCUCGAAGGUGCUCAACAAAGGUGAUGUGUUCGUCUUCCCCGUGGGGCUCAUCCACUUCCAAUUCAACCCCAACCCCCACAAGCCUGCCGUUGCAAUUGCCGCGCUUAGCAGCCAGAACCCAGGGGCUAUCACAAUUGCCAAUGCGGUGUUUGGGUCAGACCCACAAAUAUCCGAUGAUGUUCUUGCCAAGGCGUUUCAGGUGGAAAAGAAUACAGUAGACUGGCUUCAGGCCCAGUUCUGGGAGAACAACCACAACUAA
RNAcentral lists this ribosomal RNA (441 nucleotides) under Triticum aestivum (bread wheat). RNAcentral's name for it is "partial small subunit ribosomal RNA". The record is from RNAcentral. Lineage: Eukaryota; Viridiplantae; Streptophyta; Magnoliopsida; Poales; Poaceae.